UGCUGGAGGUAUCAGAAGUGCGAAUGCUGACAUAAGUAACGAUAAAGCGGGUGAAAAGCCCGCUCGCCGGAAGACCAAGGGUUCCUGUCCAACGUUAAUCGGGGCAGGGUGAGUCGACCCCUAAGGCGAGGCCGAAAGGCGUAGUCGAUGGGAAACAGGUUAAUAUUCCUGUACUUGGUGUUACUGCGAAGGGGGGACGGAGAAGGCUAUGUUGGCCGGGCGACGGUUGUCCCGGUUUAAGCGUGUAGGCUGGUUUUCCAGGCAAAUCCGGAAAACCAAGGCUGAGGCGUGAUGACGAGGCACUACGGUGCUGAAGCAACAAAUGCCCUGCUUCCAGGAAAAGCCUCUAAGCAUCAGGUAACAUCAAAUCGUACCCCAAACCGACACAGGUGGUCAGGUAGAGAAUACCAAGGCGCUUGAGAGAACUCGGGUGAAGGAACUAGGCAAAAUGGUGCCGUAACUUCGGGAGAAGGCACGCUGAUAUGUAGGUGAAGCGACUAGCUCGUGGAGCUGAAAUCAGUCGAAGAUACCAGCUGGCUGCAACUGUUUAUUAAAAACACAGCACUGUGCAAACACGAAAGUGGACGUAUACGGUGUGACGCCUGCCCGGUGCCGGAAGGUUAAUUGAUGGGGUUAGCGGUAACGCGAAGCUCUUGAUCGAAGCCCCGGUAAACGGCGGCCGUAACUAUAACGGUCCUAAGGUAGCGAAAUUCCUUGUCGGGUAAGUUCCGACCUGCACGAAUGGCGUAAUGAUGGCCAGGCUGUCUCCACCCGAGACUCAGUGAAAUUGAACUCGCUGUGAAGAUGCAGUGUACCCGCGGCAAGACGGAAAGACCCCGUGAACCUUUACUAUAGCUUGACACUGAACAUUGAGCCUUGAUGUGUAGGAUAGGUGGGAGGCUUUGAAGUGUGGACGCCAGUCUGCAUGGAGCCGACCUUGAAAUACCACCCUUUAAUGUUUGAUGUUCUAACGUUGGCCCGUAAUCCGGGUUGCGGACAGUGUCUGGUGGGUAGUUUGACUGGGGCGGUCUCCUCCUAAAGAGUAACGGAGGAGCACGAAGGUUGGCUAAUCCUGGUCGGACAUCAGGAGGUUAGUGCAAUGGCAUAAGCCAGCUUGACUGCGAGCGUGACGGCGCGAGCAGGUGCGAAAGCAGGUCAUAGUGAUCCGGUGGUUCUGAAUGGAAGGGCCAUCGCUCAACGGAUAAAAGGUACUCCGGGGAUAACAGGCUGAUACCGCCCAAGAGUUCAUAUCGACGGCGGUGUUUGGCACCUCGAUGUCGGCUCAUCACAUCCUGGGGCUGAAGUAGGUCCCAAGGGUAUGGCUGUUCGCCAUUUAAAGUGGUACGCGAGCUGGGUUUAGAACGUCGUGAGACAGUUCGGUCCCUAUCUGCCGUGGGCGCUGGAGAACUGAGGGGGGCUGCUCCUAGUACGAGAGGACCGGAGUGGACGCAUCACUGGUGUUCGGGUUGUCAUGCCAAUGGCACUGCCCGGUAGCUAAAUGCGGAAGAGAUAAGUGCUGAAAGCAUCUAAGCACGAAACUUGCCCCGAGAUGAGUUCUCCCUGAGACUUAGAGUCUCCUGAAGGAACGUUGAAGACGACGACGUUGAUAGGCCGGGUGUGUAAGCGCAGCGAUGCGUUGAGCUAACCGGUACUAAUGAACCGUGAGGCUUAACCUU
Molecule: ribosomal RNA, 1676 nt
Filed under: Escherichia coli
Lineage: Bacteria; Pseudomonadati; Pseudomonadota; Gammaproteobacteria; Enterobacterales; Enterobacteriaceae
Description: bacterial LSU rRNA
Rfam family: Bacterial large subunit ribosomal RNA
Source: RNAcentral